UACAGAGGUCUCAAGCGUUGUUCGGAUUCAUUGGGCGUACAGGGUGCGUAGGUGGUGAUGCAAGUCUGGUGUGAAAUCUCGGAGCUCAACUCCGAAAUUGCACCGGAUACUGCGUGACUCGAGGACUGUAGAGGAGAUCGGAAUUCACGGUGUAGCAGUGAAAUGCGUAGAUAUCGUGAGGAAGACCAGUUGCGAAGGCGGAUCUCUGGGCAGUUCCUGACACUGAGGCACGAAGGCCAGGGGAGCAAACGGG
Molecule: ribosomal RNA, 253 nt
Filed under: uncultured bacterium
Lineage: Bacteria
Description: partial 16S ribosomal RNA
Rfam family: Bacterial small subunit ribosomal RNA
Source: RNAcentral